AUGUCUACAGGGGAUGGGGUCCCCCGUAUAACCGCCACGGCCAGGCUGAUGACUCCUACGUCGUA
This 65-nucleotide non-coding RNA is filed under the name Nitrospira japonica. RNAcentral describes it as "Fluoride sequence". It matches the Rfam family "Fluoride riboswitch aptamer (crcB RNA motif)". Lineage: Bacteria; Pseudomonadati; Nitrospirota; Nitrospiria; Nitrospirales; Nitrospiraceae. The record is from Rfam by way of RNAcentral.